ACUGCAAGCUCCGCCUCCCGGGUUCACGCCAUUCUCCUGCCUCAGCCUCCAGAGUAGCUGGGACUACAGGCGCCCGCCAUCACGCCCGGCUAAUUUUUUUGUAUUUUUAAUAGAGACGGGGUUUCACCUUGUUAGCCAGGAUGGUCUCAAUCUCCUGACCUCGUGAUAUGCCUACCUCGGCCUCCCGAAGUGCUGGGAUUACAUUCUCCAGGCAUUCUUACCUGACGACCACUCCUGACAGAGAAAGUGCUCACAGCCUGUCCUUGUGUAACUCCUGAGCAUACCUCUACCAUCAAGCUUUGUUACCUAACAGCUUGGCUCUUUUGGGAAAUAUAGACAAGCUGGAACCCAGGAGCAGUUGGGAGUUUUAAAGAAUGCCAGCCUUUUUAAAGCUUUGAUGUCCAGUGCUAUAGAAUCAAGUUACUGUGGAGGUCAAAACAAUUUGAGAUACAUAAGCUGGCCUUAGAAAAUAAAUUGCCUCUAACUUGUAUAAGUCGAAUGUCCCUGUUUCCAGAAUAUGGUGUUCAGUCUGCCACAUG
This 539-nucleotide long non-coding RNA is filed under the name Homo sapiens (human). RNAcentral describes it as "non-protein coding lnc-CDH18-19:1". The record is from RNAcentral. Lineage: Eukaryota; Metazoa; Chordata; Mammalia; Primates; Hominidae.